GAUGAAGAACGUAGUGAAAUGCGAUAAGUAAUGUGAAUUGCAGAAUUCAGUGAAUCAUCGAAUCUUUGAACGCACCUUGCGCUCCUUGGUAUUCCGAGGAGCAUGCCUGUUUGAGUGUCAUUAAAUUCUCAAUCCCUAUAACUUUGUUGUGGUUGAUUGGAUGUGGGGGCAUAUUGUGGGUGAAUUCAUUUACACUUCCACUCCCCUAAAAUAAAUUAGCUGGAAUGCCUUUGCAAAUCCAACUAUCAGUGUGAUAAACAUCAAUACUGUAGUUUUUGCACAAGGGAAUCUGCUUCAUAAACUGUCUUUUAGACAAUAAGUCACUUUGACCUCAAAUCAGGUAGGACUACCCGCUGAACUUAAGCAUAUCAAUAAGCGGAGGA
Molecule: unclassified non-coding RNA, 383 nt
Filed under: soil metagenome
Description: partial contains 5.8S ribosomal RNA, internal transcribed spacer 2, and large subunit ribosomal RNA
Rfam family: 5.8S ribosomal RNA (bases 1-120)
Source: RNAcentral